Molecule: ribosomal RNA, 301 nt
Filed under: uncultured bacterium
Lineage: Bacteria
Description: partial 16S ribosomal RNA
Rfam family: Bacterial small subunit ribosomal RNA
Source: RNAcentral
CAGUCGCCGCGGUAACACGGAGGGUGCAAGCGUUAAUCGGAAUUACUGGGCGUAAAGCGUGCGUAGGCGGUUCGUUAAGUCUGUUGUGAAAGCCCCGGGCUCAACCUGGGAAUGGCAAUGGAUACUGGCGAGCUAGAGUGUGUCAGAGGAUGGUGGAAUUCCCGGUGUAGCGGUGAAAUGCGUAGAGAUCGGGAGGAACAUCAGUGGCGAAGGCGGCCAUCUGGGACAACACUGACGCUGAGGCACGAAAGCGUGGGGAGCAAACAGGAUUAGAUACCCCAGUAGUCCCUGUCUCUUAUAC